Molecule: long non-coding RNA, 1362 nt
Filed under: Capra hircus (goat)
Lineage: Eukaryota; Metazoa; Chordata; Mammalia; Artiodactyla; Bovidae
Description: lncRNA (ENSCHIG00010026915.1)
Source: RNAcentral
CCAAUAGGGGGAAGGGGGUGUGUCACAUGCAAAUAACCCCGUGGAACCCAGCCCCUCCCCUAAGGCCAGCCACAGCCCCUGCGCUAGGUCCCUGCAGAAAUGGGGAGGGAAUGAGAUAAAUAGCUGGGAGCUAGAGUUCGCUAGAGGGUCUAAGACUCGACUAAAUGUUUCCUAUUUCUUGAGAAAGACGGUGGGGGUGGGGGGAGCUAAAACGGUGGUUAGGCUUUCUCUUUCUUACCUAGAAUCUUAGCUGGAAAGAAGACUGCAGUCCUGUAGCAGUUGGCAGCCAAGGAUCUCAAAGAACUUUAUGCAUCGCUUAUCCUUGUUUUGCAAAAGACCAGUUACCUAAAGCUUCGGCACCAGGUGGGGGAUAAAUGUUUAGGUAUAUUUACACCAUUAGUCGGUUACAGGGAAACAAAAGCCUCAAAACCUGUGGGUUAGCGGUUUCCUCCUCCAUCUAAAGCCCCUUCUCGUCGUAGUCUCUCAGCAACGAAAAUUCUUUUAUUUGUCCAGCUCUACAAGGCCAAAGAGACAGGUUUGUCUUCCACCCCAAAGUCCUUCUGGGGCAGCUGGUUAGAUAAACGCAGAGCUCGGAGCCCUGCCUGGGAAAGAAGCUUCGGAGAACAAAUUGCCAUUUAAAGCUGUUGGGCUAGACCUGUCUCUUGCAAAGCUACAAAUGAAUUCAGGAUUUUGGUGUUCACGUUCUGGGGAGAGUAAGCAGAUGUAACUGGGGGAAACUCAGGCUUUCAGGGUGUGGAGGGGGACAGACAAGUGGGAGAGUAAGGUCUCCAGAGGGGCUAGCAGCGCUCAUGCUGGUCGAAGGCGGGUUCCGACGCGAGACACCCCGAAACCUGCUCCCCUUGUGAGACAAAGGCAGGUGCCGAGCGAGAACCUGAUUGGUGCCGGAUGCUCCCCGGCGUCCUCCAGGCCCCGAAGAUUUCUUGCUCUGCCCACUGGGGCCGAAUUCCGUGCACACUGGAACCCCAGCUCCCCACCCGGCCCUGGCUGAAACCACACAGGACUGUGCGUUAUGACAUCACCUGUUUUCGCGCUGGAGAACGCGAUCAGUAUUCUCGGCUUCUGCUUUUCUUAAAGGUCGCUAGCGUACGAGGAUCUAUGAAGGCCUGCAGUUGGCAGAAUGAAUCUGUGCAGAUGAUUUACACGAAUGAUUUCACUGGGCCCAAUACCAGUACUACUCCGAAGGAGGAAUUGAGACAAUGUGAUCCAAAAGUGGCACUGCUUGAGUGCCCCGUCCCCUUCCACCCUCUCCAUCGCCCACCUCCACCAGGAAAAUUAUUCUUGCUGAAGCUCAUUUUCCAAUAUUUCAUCAAGAUCCAGAUUUCUGCCAGCUUUCUCUUCUAA